AGUUCUUCAGGGCUGUCUCUGUGAUCCAGGCUUUGAUCUGGGAAAGGUUGCGCCUCAUUGCAGAGUUGAAGCUAUCUGCCUGCUUUGUUUACACGAACGCCCUUCCAGGACUCUGUCUGCUUUUGGGGUGGAAGUGCCCUGCCAAAAACUCCAGCUCUCCAUGCUGGCUGUGUGGCCAGCAUACCUCCUGCCUUUUCAACGAUUCCUCUGCCCUGGAUAGAGAGCGGUGUCUCAUAACAGUUUGGAAACUACAAAAGUUUCCCUGGCAGGAUGAAUGAUUGACUCGGCAACAUGUUCUUGCCUUUUGGAGUUGCCCUCCAAUUUUUCCAGGCUUGAUUCUGUAAAUCAUUUCAUCUUGUAAAAAUACUGGGCUGUGAGCACGGAUGAUCUCAAAGAUGAGGAAACAGAAGCUGGGAUAUGUGAGUAAACAUUUCCAAGGUCCUGCAGCUAAUCAAUGGUUGACAACUUCUUUCCUCUGCCUAUGUUGCCAUCCAUGUCAUGGUUUGUGUCAAGACUCUAGGAGAAGUCUACCAUCAGCACCACAGCUACUGUGCACAAAUCCAGAAUGCCAGACUGAAGUCAGAAGGAAAGGACCUGGCUUUUAAAAAUGGUGAAGGGAAAUGUUCUUAUCACCCAUUCCUGUCAGAGAUGAUGCAGCUCAUUGCUGAUGCUGAGAUCCAACGUCCAGUGCCUGAGUACCCCUGGAUUCUGAGCACUAGGGGCUGGACUGUGGAGACCAUCAGUUCAUAACAUCCUGUCCCUGCUCCCUGCUGUAGAUGACUGAGACCAGAAAGAAGAUUGGAAAAAUCUCCCAUGACCAAGGAAAAUUGUGAAAAAUAUUUCUGAUAUUUUGUCUAUGCAUUUUAUUUUUGAGGGUGUUUUUUAUAUUAGUGUGACUAUUUUGUAUUUCCUACCCUGUUGUAAACUUUUUAAAAAUUGCUCUUACAGUUAUUACUAAGUAUAUGAUUUAAAAUCCCUAAUUAGGGUUCUUAAACAAGGGAGAAGCACUCUCAUACCCCUAGAACAAGAUGAACAAAAGAAGGAGGAAAAAUCUUGACCUCCGUAAGAUCCAGGAUGGCACGUGCAAGGCACUGACACAGCAUCUGCCGGCAUCACUGACUCUCCUGGACCCCAGAAGCCCAGUUCCCCAGGCUCUGAAACCCUGCAGCAAUGAAAAGGAAGCACAGGCAAACCAUAAGGAAGAUAAUUUUUCUACUAAAAAAUAAAUAGAAAUGCAUCCUUAGAGGCAGGUUUCAUGAGGACACAGAGAAUCCGGUUUUGUGUGUGCCUGAUUUCGUUUUUCUGUCAAAGAGAUACAAAACAAUCAACUGAGUUAUCUUGAACUUACAAAGAUUAAAAAUAAUCAAUUCCUGUUACUAUUUUCAAUUUUUCCCCCAUUUUACUUCUUUAGGUAUGAAGAAAUGUAGCCUAUUAAAACCUGGAUUAAUAAAAACCUUUCAUUAACUUUUAGAA
Molecule: long non-coding RNA, 1473 nt
Filed under: Homo sapiens (human)
Lineage: Eukaryota; Metazoa; Chordata; Mammalia; Primates; Hominidae
Description: long independently transcribed non-coding RNA 3007, transcript variant 22 (LINC03007)
Source: RNAcentral